GAUGAGCGCUGGCGGUAUGCCUAACACAUGCAAGUCGUACGCCUCACUUCGGUGAGGAGUGGCGGACGGGUGAGUAACACGUUAGUACCUGCCCCAAAGUGGGGAAUAACUGCCCGAAAGGGUAGCUAAUACCCCAUAGUCUCCGGUUUAUCCGGAGUAAAGAUUUAUCGCUUUGGGAGGGGCUUGCGUUUGAUUAGCUAGUUGGUGAGGGUAAUGGCCCACCAAGGCGACGAUCAAUAGCUGGAUCGAGAGGUUGACCAGCCACACUGGGACUGAGAUACGGCCCAGACUCCUACGGGAGGCAGCAGUGAGGAAUCUUCCACAAUGGGCGAAAGCCUGAUGGAGCAAUACCGCGUGCAGGAUGAAGCUUUUCGGAGUGUAAACUGCUUUUCUGAAGGAAGAUUAUGACGGUACUUCAGGAAUAAGGAUCGGCUAACUACGUGCCAGCAGCCGCGGUAAGCUCGUCUCUA
Molecule: ribosomal RNA, 470 nt
Filed under: uncultured bacterium
Lineage: Bacteria
Description: bacterial SSU rRNA
Rfam family: Bacterial small subunit ribosomal RNA
Source: RNAcentral